This is a non-coding RNA of Thamnophis elegans (Western terrestrial garter snake), 988 nucleotides long. NCBI's taxonomy places the organism in Eukaryota, Metazoa, Chordata, Lepidosauria, Squamata, Natricidae. The record is from the annotation of a RefSeq genome assembly.
AUGACAGGAAACCCAGCAGCUUAUCAUCUAUCCCCAGCAGCUGCAGUAGCAGCACCAGGCUGAGAUGGCCAAGAUACCUCUUCAUUCCAGCUCUGGGCUCCUUGGACUCCGCUUCUCCCAUGUCCUCUUUGCCGUCUGGUGCGCCUUUGUGGGCAGUGGCUCUGCGGUGAAAGUGAUCCAGACUCCAAGCUUUGCCCAUAACUCAGCAGGGCAAAAUAUUACCUUCCACUGCUCUGUGAAUGAAGCAGGCUACAAAUUUUUUUGGUAUCAACAAUUGCCUGGGAAGACAGAACUGACAGCCCUCGGGUACCUCUCCAGUUUUGACAAAGACCUUCAAGACAGACAUAAGGAUUGGCAGAAUCGUCUAGAAGCAAAGUGGGAAGGCUCAAAAAACCAGGAGAUGCGUUUGAAUCUGUUACAUCUUCAGGCGAGUGACACAGGCUUCUACCUCUGUGCUGCCGUGUACACGGUGAAUGAGAUUCAGACUCUGGAAACCUCAACUCCACCCAUCGUCUCCAAUCAUAGUCUCUCCGGAUGAACAAGACUAUAACUUCCAAGCUGGUUAGGGACAAUGGGAGUUGUGCUCCAAAGCAUCCAGUAGACAUCUGGUUGAGGAGGAUCCACACACUGAGGACACCCAAGCAGCCUAACACAAAUUCAUUUGCAUUGUGCUAACAUUAGCUCAAAACCAUUCUAUAAAAAUUCCAUGGUAUGAAAUAUAACAUCAGUUCCCACCUUAUUCCAAGCAAUAAUGUAUGUGUGGGGGUGUUUCCUGACAGUGUAUGGUGAAUUCAGUCCCUAUGGUUCUUAUAGGUUAGCAUAUUAAUGGUGGUUUUUCAAUAUAUCAUGAUUAAAUACACAAAACGUAUAUUAUAUGUACAGCUGGUCACCAAACACCUAUUUUGUUCUUGAAUAUGAUGAUGGGCAAAGAAUAGAAUAGAAUAGAAUAGAAUAGAAUUCUUUAUUUGCCAAGUGUGAUUGGACACAU